UACAGAGGUCUCAAGCGUUGUUCGGAUUCAUUGGGCGUAAAGGGUGCGUAGGUGGCGUGGUAAGUCGGGUGUGAAAUUUCGGAGCUUAACUCCGAAACUGCAUUCGAUACUGCCCUGCUCGAGGACUGGAGAGGAGACUGGAAUUUACGGUGUAGCAGUGAAAUGCGUAGAGAUCGUAAGGAAGACCAGUGGCGAAGGCGGGUCUCUGGACAGUUCCUGACACUGAGGCACGAAGGCCAGGGGAGCAAACGGG
Molecule: ribosomal RNA, 253 nt
Filed under: uncultured bacterium
Lineage: Bacteria
Description: partial 16S ribosomal RNA
Rfam family: Bacterial small subunit ribosomal RNA
Source: RNAcentral